RNAcentral lists this ribosomal RNA (251 nucleotides) under uncultured prokaryote. RNAcentral's name for it is "partial 16S rRNA". It matches the Rfam family "Bacterial small subunit ribosomal RNA", at positions 525 to 775 of the family's 1533-position model. The record is from RNAcentral.
ACGUAGGGGGCGAGCGUUGUCCGGAAUCACUGGGCGUAAAGCGCACGUAGGCGGGCUGUCAAGUCGGCCGUGAAAGGCACGGGCUCAACCUGUGCAUGUCGGUCGAUACUGGCGGUCUGGAGUAUGGGAGAGGGAGAUGGAAUUCCCGGUGGGGGGGUGAACGGCGGAGGUAUCGGGGGGAACAGCAGUGGCGGGGGCGGGGUCCUGGCCCAUGACUGAUGGUCAGGUGGCAAAGCGAGGGGAGCGAGGGG